GACUUCCUGGUCCAGGUGUGGUCCUGGAGGCGUAUGGGAGCUACGCCCUUCAUCUGGCAUUCACUACUGGAGCCGAAUGAACAAGGGAGACCCUACUCAGUCCUAUAAAGAAGGGCCUUGUGCAGCCGGACAAAACCUGGGAGGUCCAGCCCUAAAAGCAUGUAACUGUGGACCACUAGAGGGUCUGUUCUGUUCUGCGGAGUUCACCUGAAGUCCACCAUAUCUAGGAAUUCAAGAAAGAAGAAAACUUAACAGGCACACAAAAAUGUAAUGUGAGUAGAAAUUUGAGUAAAAAAUAAAGUUCUCUAUGAAAUGACAAGAGCUGCAUUUAUGGCUAAAGCGUUGUGUAUCAAGGAUUCCAUAGGAAUGGAACCUGACCACUACCAUCCCUCCAUCACCACCUUCUCCUCAGCCCCACGUUGUGUUUCAAGCAUGUCAAUUUCAUAGGAGCGGAGCCUGACCACUGCUGUCCCUCCAUCACCACCUCCUUCCCACCCCCGCAUUGUGUAUCAAGGAUGUGAAUUCCAUAGGAGUGGAGCCUGCCCACUGCCAUCCCUCCAUCACUGCCCCCUCCCCAGCCCCGUGCUACACUGCAGCUUCACUCGUGCUGGGCAUUCCUACAUAUUUGUUGAGUGAACAAAUGAG
This 645-nucleotide long non-coding RNA is filed under the name Homo sapiens (human). RNAcentral describes it as "HSALNT0083590". The record is from RNAcentral. Lineage: Eukaryota; Metazoa; Chordata; Mammalia; Primates; Hominidae.